Molecule: long non-coding RNA, 286 nt
Filed under: Carica papaya (papaya)
Lineage: Eukaryota; Viridiplantae; Streptophyta; Magnoliopsida; Brassicales; Caricaceae
Description: long non-coding RNA (CPAP_LNC005457)
Source: RNAcentral
CUACCGCGUCCUGUUGCUAGAGCCUGAGAAGGAGAUUAAGUCACAGACAUAUAUCUCUUAUUCUGCUAAAUCGGUGCAGUAGGUGCUAGUCUACAGUGUGGAAUCGGAGGUUUGGAAUUGUCCACUGUUGGAGGGAAGAUAUGAAGGUUCAUCUCCAUUAACUGUGUCUUCGCCAGAACUACUAAGUAAGUGUUAAGCUCGAAUACAUAUAGUUGUUGCCCGAUCUCAAGAUGGAGGCCCCACUAAAAAUUUUUUGCCUUUCCGCCUUCAUCUAUCAUAUUCUCAA